GGGGGCGAAAUAGGUCUCGACAGGGGGAGGAUAGAGAAAAGCUGCCGGCCGAGACGCCGGAGGCUCGUCAAAUCCGGCAAAAAAUAGCUGCCACAACAGCGAACUACAUGGCUGCUUAAAAAAGCAGUCACCUGACAGAAUUCCUGCUCCUGGGAUUCUGAAUCAGGUCGGAUAGGAGCUCGUUCCAGACCUCUGUGGUCCCUGGGGGCUGGAACUAAAUUCAACAGGGACAGGUAUUCUGGAAUCCGGUUUCGGGGAGUCCAGAAAUACCCAACAAAACCGAAACUAUGCUCGGUAGAUGCUUUUCUUAUUCCCCUCUGGACGCGGGGGCAGUACCCGCCGCCUCCACUU
This 351-nucleotide transfer-messenger RNA is filed under the name bacterium. RNAcentral describes it as "DTJG01 sp023818375 Standard tmRNA". It matches the Rfam family "transfer-messenger RNA". From Rfam's summary of the family: Bacterial tmRNA, also known as 10Sa RNA or SsrA, is named for its dual tRNA and mRNA-like properties. Its role is to liberate the mRNA from a stalled ribosome. The record is from RNAcentral. RNAcentral also lists the same sequence under 2 other names.